GUUCAUGAGUGUUGUGUUUUACCAGAAAUAAAGAGUUAAAACACACAAAAAUGAAUACAAGUAGAAAGCGUUUGAUUUCAACAGUAACUUCAUCAGAUCACCGGUAUUCAGUUUGAAAUUAAUUUCUAAAUUACCAAUGCAGCCUCAUUAGGAUAACAGCAAUGUUACUUGCCUCAUGAGUUGUUACAUGCUCUGAGUGCAAAGGAAAAUAGAAAGACCACAAGCAGAGCUGAAAAGUAUUUGGAAAACAAUCAGUGAAUUGCCGAAGAAGCAGCAGCAGCAGCAUCGUAAGCAUAAUGCAUUAUACAGAUGAUACCAAAGAAUUUCUACCUUGUGAAAAAUUUCAUCUUCAGGCUUAAUGUAUAUUAUCAAUUCCUCAUUGUGACUGCUUUUCCCUUUUUUGUGGUCUGCAUUCUUGUGCUUGUAAAUUUU
Molecule: unclassified non-coding RNA, 432 nt
Filed under: Hevea brasiliensis (rubber tree)
Lineage: Eukaryota; Viridiplantae; Streptophyta; Magnoliopsida; Malpighiales; Euphorbiaceae
Source: RNAcentral